GUCCACGCCCUAAACGAUGACAACUAGCCGUUGGGAAUGAAGAUUCUUAGUGGCGUAGCUAACGCGAGAAGUUGUCCGCCUGGGGAGUACGGUCGCAAGAUUAAAACUCAAAGGAAUUGACGGGGGCCCGCACAAGCGGUGGAUGAUGUGGAUUAAUUCGAUGCAACGCGAAAAACCUUACCUGGUCUUGACAUGUACGGAAUUCUGCAGAGAUGCGGGAGUGCCUUCGGGAGCCGUAACACAGGUGCUGCAUGGCUGUCGU
Molecule: ribosomal RNA, 262 nt
Filed under: uncultured bacterium
Lineage: Bacteria
Description: partial 16S ribosomal RNA
Rfam family: Bacterial small subunit ribosomal RNA
Source: RNAcentral